AACGAACGCUGGCGGCAGGCCUAACACAUGCAAGUCGAACGCCCUGGCAACAGGGAGUGGCAGACGGGUGAGUAACGCGUGGGAACGUGCCCUUCGGUUCGGGAAUAACUCAGGGAAACUUGAGCUAAUACCGGAUACGUGCGAGAGCAGAAAGAUUUAUCGCCGAAGGAUCGGCCCGCGUCCGAUUAGCUAGUUGGUGAGGUAAUGGCUCACCAAGGCGACGAUCGGUAGCUGGUCUGAGAGGAUGAUCAGCCACACUGGGACUGAGACACGGCCCAGACUCCUACGGGAGGCAGCAGUGGGGAAUUUUGGACAAUGGACGCAAGUCUGAUCCAGCCAUUCCGCGUGCAGGAUGAAGGCCCUCGGGUUGUAAACUGCUUUUGUACGGAACGAAAAGGUUUCUAUUAAUACUAGGAGCUCAUGACGGUACCGUAAGAAUAAGCACCGGCUAACUCCGUGCCAGCAGCCGCGGU
RNAcentral lists this ribosomal RNA (473 nucleotides) under uncultured bacterium. RNAcentral's name for it is "bacterial SSU rRNA". It matches the Rfam family "Bacterial small subunit ribosomal RNA", at positions 29 to 521 of the family's 1533-position model. The record is from RNAcentral.